ACGGGAGGCAGCAGUGAGGAAUAUUGGUCAAUGGGCGAGAGCCUGAGCCAGCCAAGUAGCGUGCAGGAUGACGGCCCUCCGGGUUGUAAACUGCUUUUAGUUGGGAAUAAAAAGAGGGACGUGUCCCUCAUUGUAUGUACCAUCAGAAAAAGGACCGGCUAAUUCCGUGCCAGCAGCCGCGGUAAUACGGAAGGUCCGGGCGUUAUCCGGAUUUAUUGGGUUUAAAGGGAGCGUAGGCGGGCCUUUAAGUCAGUGGUAAAAGCGUGUGGCUCAAUCAUACCACGCCACUGAAACUGGAGGCCUUGAGUGCACACAGGGAUGCUGGAAUUCGUCGUGUAGCGGUGAAAUGCUUAGAUAUGACGAAGAACUCCGAUCGCGAAGGCAGGUGUCCGGGGUGUAACUGACGCUGAGGCUCGAAAGUGCGGGUAUCAAACAGGAUUAGAUACCCUGGUA
This 453-nucleotide ribosomal RNA is filed under the name uncultured Alloprevotella sp. RNAcentral describes it as "partial 16S ribosomal RNA". It matches the Rfam family "Bacterial small subunit ribosomal RNA", at positions 341 to 792 of the family's 1533-position model. Lineage: Bacteria; Pseudomonadati; Bacteroidota; Bacteroidia; Bacteroidales; Prevotellaceae. The record is from RNAcentral.